UACGUAGGGUGCAAGCGUUGUCCGGAUUUAUUGGGCGUAAAGAGCUCGUAGGCGGUUAGUCACGUCGGAUGUGAAAACUCAGAGCUUAACUCUGAGCCUGCAUUCGAUACGGGCUGACUAGAGUGUUGUAGGGGAGACUGGAACUCCUGGUAUAGCGGUGAAAUGCGCAGAUAUCAGGAAGAACACCGGUGGCGAAGGCGGGCCUCUGGGCAACUACUGACGCUGAGGAGCGAAAGCGUGGGGAGCAAACAGG
RNAcentral lists this ribosomal RNA (253 nucleotides) under uncultured bacterium. RNAcentral describes it as "partial 16S ribosomal RNA". It matches the Rfam family "Bacterial small subunit ribosomal RNA", at positions 524 to 776 of the family's 1533-position model. The record is from RNAcentral.